GCAGACAAGGGACAGUUUUAAGUCCCUCGAAAAUACUGCACUUCUGAACUCGUGAACUUUGUCUUUAAAGGAGAGGAGCGCGCGGCCGCUCUGCUUCCACGACACGCGAAGUGUGACGAACGCGUCCGGUCGCCAUGGCCGCGUCCGCAGCUCCGAAAUGCGACGACGUCUUCAUUUGCAUUUUGUUUGGCGUUAAAUACUAAAAACAAGGGCACCAAAGGCGUGCUGAAGCGUUAGAAAAUAUAACGCUAUAAUAUAUCCAACGUAGCAUUGGCAUGGGUUUAACGCGGGAAGAAACAUUUGCGGUCAUAAACUAAGCGGCACAAUUACUAGGUUUGGGUAGAGAGGAAAGACUCGGCAGCGUUUCAAGAAGAAACGUAUUUUAAUUCGUGUCGUAAAUUCCAAGCCACCGUUCAGAGCAGCCCGACGUUGAAGGGUAAUAAAAAAUUGGUGGCGUUUAAUGGUGUUUGACAGUGUAAAUGAGACACGGCGCGAGCGCCUCCCCGUCCUCAGUCCCCCUUCACCUUAAAUGAACUCGUGUAAUGUGGCUCCGGAGCGGCGCAGCGCGGUUUGCUGUGGCCCGGGACCAGCAGCCUCGCAGGGGAACUGCAACCAGAAACAGAGAAAAAGGACCUUCCACACCUGGAUAGAGCGGACGCGGGCGGUGCGCGUGCUCGAGAGCCCGGUGUCCGGUGUCGGCCGGAGCGGGGACGCGGGGACGCGGGACAAAACGAGCUCCGGCGUUCGCGCGAGAGAGGCCGUCUCGAGGGACGCCGCCAACGGCCGGGAGUGACACAUUACUGCGCACCGCGGAGCCGCAUUCAAAUUUCAACUUCAAACGGCUUUUUGGGAUUAAAACCGCUUUUUGGGCUUUUUUAGCGAACGCGUCCGUCCUCUAAUGAAGACAUUACGCACUACAGUGCGCUCAUGAAUGGGAGCUGCAGUGCAGUAGCAACAGCUAUAAUUGAGGCAUUGACUGCCGACCAGUUUGGUGAGGAGACUCCAGUUCAGAACAGACAGCAGGGACCUACAUCCCGAGAAAUACAGAGGAAGAAAGGAAAAAGAGAAAGGAUGCGUUUCUUGGUUUUGAAACACCCUGCGCAGACCGCUGGCACCUGCAGCUUUUUUCUGAAUUUGUGAUGAUGACACUCCGUAUCUGAGCAGCCAGAGUCCGGGCCCACUGUCAUUUAAGGUUCAUCUGAGCUCUAGAUGAAAGCCUUUGCAGGACAGCUAAGCUCAUUUAGAUGAGAACGCCGUCCCCGUGCGACCAUGUCGACUCUGAGAGGUAUUUUUUUUUUCUUCUCUUUUUUGUUCAUGUUUCCUCCUUACGCAGACUGGACCUUGCAAAACCGGAAGGUGGAAUGGCUGCAGGAAUGCGACUGUCCUUUGGGGUGAGGUAGUAGGUUGUAUAGUUUGAGGGUGAUACCCUUCCUGUCAGAUAACUAUACAACUUACUGUCUUUCCUGAAGUGGCUGUGAUGUCAUCGCUUGAGGAGACAAUUGCUACACUAUGAUCCUCAGCAGUGUGCUUACUGCACACCAUGUGUGUAACAGAGAUGUGUCCAGCAUUGCUGGAUAUUUGUAUGUUCUGUGCUCUGUAUAAAAUUGAACGUUUAUUUACCUCCAGCAUUUAUUGUUAAAUGUACCAAAUGAGCAAGCAGGACUUAAUGGGCUCCUGUUUUGAGGCUGUUCCCAAACAUUAUUUGGACUGUCACUUGAUACGUUGGGGCCGUUGGGUACGUUUUAUCUCUCUUACCCCCAAACCCACCCGCUGCUUGUGUUCUGUGCCGCACCACCACUCGCUGAUGUUCGCACGGGGUGAGGUAGUAGGUUGUGUGGUUUCAGGGUAGAGAUUUUGCCCCAUCAGAAGAUAACUAUACAACCUACUGCCUUCCCUGAAGGGCAGCAAUACAGCGCUUGACAGUGAGUCACCUAGUCAUUAGUGAUGUGUAAAAUCAGAAGUUUGAACCUGGUACAGUUAAGGAAAAAAGGAAUAUACAACACAAAAGUUACCUCUGCAGAAUGUUAUUUAAGGGUACUUGAAAUCAAUAAAAAGAAUUAAUUCUCA
Scleropages formosus (Asian bonytongue) is the source of this 2067-nucleotide long non-coding RNA. RefSeq lists it as uncharacterized. The transcript is spliced from 5 exons. The record is from RefSeq and is a predicted model, not a curated record. NCBI's taxonomy places the organism in Eukaryota, Metazoa, Chordata, Actinopteri, Osteoglossiformes, Osteoglossidae.